AUUAUAUUAGUGUAAUUUUAUAAGCACAUGAACUUUUCGUGUUCAAGGAAGCAGUAAAUUGCUAUAUAAUA
RNAcentral lists this transfer RNA (71 nucleotides) under Gyrodactylus parvae. Its description in RNAcentral is "tRNA-Glu". The record is from RNAcentral. Lineage: Eukaryota; Metazoa; Platyhelminthes; Monogenea; Gyrodactylidea; Gyrodactylidae.